Molecule: long non-coding RNA, 495 nt
Organism: Stegostoma tigrinum
Lineage: Eukaryota; Metazoa; Chordata; Chondrichthyes; Orectolobiformes; Stegostomatidae
Exons: 4
Source: RefSeq, a predicted model, not a curated record
GCUGGAAAGAGACUGAAUUGGAGCUAUAUCUGAUUGCAGUCACCCAAGAUGAAAGGCUGCGGACCCAAGACACACACAGACACUCCGGGCUCAAAGGGAUUGUCCAGGCGGCAGGCAAGCGGUGAAGAGAAUGUAGACAGUGGCAAUUCAAGACAAGAAAGUCAGAGCGGAUGUUUGGCAGCUCGAUUUCAAUGCCUGCUCCAUCGAGACUCCACUUUGGCCAAUAGUACCUAACAGCUCCAGAUCUGCCGGCCUGUUAUGUACACUCUACAAUUAAUCAGUUUCAUCCAAGAUGUCUGGCAUUGCUUCUUAAAAGGCAACAGGAAAUGGAUUUUUGUACUGACAGAAAAGGAAUCUAUACACCAGAAAACUUGACAGGCUUAAAACCCAAGCAAUGAAGACAUCACAGAAUAUCAACAGAAGGAAGUUAACAGUAUGGAGAGAUAAAUGGUGAUGAUCACAGAGAGGUUGUAUUCACUGUAUUGUCAAUUAUGA